CAGUCGCCGCGGUAAAACGUAGGUGGCAAGCGUUGUCCGGAAUUAUUGGGCGUAAAGGGCUCGCAGGCGGUUUCUUAAGUCUGACGUGAAAGCCCCCGGCUCAACCGGGGAGGGUCAUUGGAAACUGGGAAACUUGAGUGCAGAAGAGGAGAGUGGAAUUCCACGUGUAGCGGUGAAAUGCGUAGAGAUGUGGAGGAACACCAGUGGCGAAGGCGACUCUCUGGUCUGUAACUGACGCUGAUGCACGGAAGCUAGGGGAGCAAACAGGAUUAGAUACCCGUGUAGUCCCUGUCUCUUAUAA
This 301-nucleotide ribosomal RNA is filed under the name uncultured bacterium. RNAcentral describes it as "partial 16S ribosomal RNA". It matches the Rfam family "Bacterial small subunit ribosomal RNA", at positions 509 to 809 of the family's 1533-position model. The record is from RNAcentral.